UCCACAGUGGUUGCACCAGUCUGCACUCCCACCAACAAUGGAGAAGGGUUCCUGAGAAAAGAUUUUUUGUAAUGAAAGAAUCCAACUACUUUUUCCAUUCUUGACACGUAUGGGAGGAGGAAACAAAAAUACAAAUGGCAGUGGGAAAAGAAAAUGGGGUAACUAACCAGGGGACAAUUGGCAAAUCCACAUGCCCCAGUUUAGGAAGAACCUGGUGUCUAUGUUUCUCAGCUACUUUUUAAGUCAUAGCACCUGAUACUGCUGAAAUAAAAAGUUUAGCUGUUCUCACUUCCUGAGGAGGUGCUGCGCCUCAUCAGUAAAGAACAAUGCAGUGAUUUCUGGGAGGAAUCCAGUCAUCCCCACUCGUCCACCUCGAGUCAUCCAGCACCCACUGAUUCCUGGCUCAGCUGGUAUCCCCAGCACCUAACUAAGAGGCUGGGCUGAAGAAUCUCGAAUCUGGAUUCAAAUCCCAGCUCCUUUCCUUGAAAGACUUGUCCCUUUGAAAGUUUAUUUAAUUUCCCUGAAUAUAGAUUUUUCCACUUUAUUCCUAAUUAUUAAUAUGGGCUUUGCUUUCAAGAUUUUCCUUGCUCAGAAUCUAAAUUUCUUUUAGGUCUAGACUGCCUAAAAGUAGGGGUUAGGCCUGCUGUAGUUAAAAUGACAUUUUUAGCAUUAAUCUGCUUGAUCUUUCUCUGUGAAAACAAGUUUCACUGAAUGACUUUACACAUUAGCUGUAUUAUAGUUUUAAAGAAAUGAAGUCUUCACUCUAGACCAAAUUUUAAAAAGAUGCUUUACUCUCUUCAGACAUAUCAAUAAUUCCUUUAAUACGUAUGUAUGUAAGAUGUAGGUUGUUUAGUUAAAACGGAUCUUUAUCAAUGAACUUAAGAGUUUAGAAGCUAGAGGGAGCCCUUGGGAGAGUCUGGCCUCAGUGUUUACAAGGAAGAAAUGAAGACCUACACAGAGAAGACGCCUGCCACACUGGGAUGUGGCCCCGACCAGAUUGUGCCGGCCUCUGCCCCCAUGUGAUGCUCGUUCCAAGCCAUCCAUUUCCUUGUUAAGAGAAAGGUAAAUCGUGCAAUGAAGUCACUUGCCCUGAAUGCUUUCCUUUCUAUUACCCAUGACCUGUUUUCCUUCUUCAAUGCAGGUCACCCAUCUCGCAUUCACUUCCGACCCAUCCUGGGCUAUCAGCCUUACAAUGCUCAGGCUCUUUUCUGACCUCAAGUUCAAAAGGUUUCUCAGUGCUGCCAGUGGUAAUUACAGUCUCCCACGCAGUUUUCCCACGGCCUUAUGAACAAAUACGAGCUGGUUAUUUCUGGCUUUGCUGCUUUGUUUUGUUUUUUUCUGUGAAGAACAUCUCCCGCUGGAAGCUUAGCAACACAGCGGAGCUGCUUGCUUAAUGAGGUCUUUGGUGUCUGACUCAUAUCCCUCACGUAAGUCACCAUUCCACACUCAUCAUCACUGACCUUGUAAAUGGCUUUAAAUGGACUCUUGGGGACGUGACCACCUGCUGUCACCCCCAGGGAAGAGGAUGAAGUAACUCACUCAUCAAAUUUUAAUUAAUGCCAUACACCGUGAAAGGACCUGGCAAGUCAAGACCACAACCAUGUGGUCCCUGGCCUCAAGAAGCACUUGUAAACAGGCACGCGUCCAGUGUCAGAGCAGGUGGAAGGUCAUGUGAAAGCAGGUGCUAGCAUGGGCAGGAUUAAAAAACUGAGCCCACCUGGGGUCUCUGAGAAUCUGCAUUUUCAACAAGCUUUCAACAAUGCUGGCUGCCCAUCCCAGGAAUCUCACUUCAAGUUGUACAGAUCUAGUCUAAUGCUAAUGCCACUAAAAACAAAAACAAAAAAAUCAGGCCUACUAAAUAUUGAAAAAAAAAAAAAGGCUGAAGGCUGUUCUUAGGUCUAAGAAGUUUUGUUUUGCUUUGCCUUGUUCUCAUACCUGCUACUCUUGGGUCUGCAGUGGACAAGAGGCAAUGGGAGAGCUGGGAAGGUUUCACCUGUGUAUGUGAACAACUUUAAGUGCCAGGGUUUUAGGGCAGUAGGAUGGGCUAGCAAUGGAGUGAGUUGAUCUAUCCCUAGAGUCCUUCUAGGAAAAAUAGGACAUGUUUUGAACUAGAUUAUUUAGAAGUUAUCCUCCCUAAAGGUAAAUGACCAAGCUUUUAAAAAUGUAGCAUAUGCUACAAACUAGUAUAGAUUAUUUCCUUCCAGUUUGUAAAACUGCUAGUGUAUUGAAGCCUUCAACUAUGCAGACAUUUUCUCCCUGUGACUUGUGGUCUGGCCUCAGGUUACACAUGAGGAGCAUCUUCUUGAGUCUGGGACAAUCACAUGCUCAGGUUAUAUGCUUUGUUUGGCUUGCCUCCCAGUCAGUUCAGUCAUCUUUCUCAGAUGAGUCUUAAGAAAUCCUCACCCUCUUGCACAUGGUGGUGCUUGAUCAGCAUCUUACACCCAUUUUGUACUUCAACUUUGCUUGUUCUUCUUAUGGGAAAGAGAUGAGCAUCAUGUCAAAGACUAGCAAAUAUAAAAUCUUUACCACCAUUUCUGAGAUUGAUGCUAGAAUGCAAACCAAGAUAUUGGGACGUAGGUCUCCAUGUGUGAUCCUAAACUGAGAUCGGUGAAUUUGAUAGCACCUGCUCCCAAUACAUCUCAGUCCUUCUCAGCAUGGAGCCCCAUGCAUUUAAAAGCCAGGUGCAGUACCUGCUUGCUGACUUGGUUGCAGCCAUUUUCAAAAACCACUCUGUAAUAAGUAUUCUGUACUUGAGGUCAGACACUUCCAAUUGGGAUUAGAAAAGCAAAGACUUAGAUCUUUAAUCCACUUCGAUCUUAGUUUAGUGCAUGGUGAUAGGUAUGGGUCUAGUUUUAAUCUUUGGGAGGUUGAAAUCCAGUUUUUCCAACACCAUUUGUUAAAUAGGCUAUCUUUCCUCCAAUGAAGGUGGUUGGCCCCUUUGUCAAA
Molecule: non-coding RNA, 2946 nt
Organism: Heterocephalus glaber (naked mole-rat)
Lineage: Eukaryota; Metazoa; Chordata; Mammalia; Rodentia; Bathyergidae
Source: RefSeq, a predicted model, not a curated record